This 6655-nucleotide long non-coding RNA is filed under the name Sus scrofa (pig). RNAcentral's name for it is "lncRNA (ENSSSCG00065068549.1)". Lineage: Eukaryota; Metazoa; Chordata; Mammalia; Artiodactyla; Suidae. The record is from RNAcentral.
AAAAUAUGGCACAAAUGAAACUAAUAAUGAAAACAGAUUCAUAGACAUAGAAAAAAAUUGUGGUUGCCUUGGGGAGGGAGGAGAGAGUGGGAUGGACUGGGAGUUUGGGAUUAAUAGAUGCAAACCAUUGAAUUUAGAAUGGGAAGAUAAUAAGAUCUACUGUUUGGUAUGAGAAACAUAUCCAAUCUUUUGGGAUAGACCAUGAUGGAAAAUAAUAUUUAAAACAAAGAAUGUAUGUAUAUAUGUAUGACUGAGUCACUUUGCUAUACAGCAGAAAUUAGCACAACAUCAUAAAUCAACUAUAAUAAAAAAAGAACCAAUACAGCUCAAUAUGAGUUGUAAUUUAUGUUACCAAAUAAUUUUAAAGCAUUAUUUAUAGUUGAGGCAAUAAAGACACAGAAAUCUUUAGAUCACCAAAACAUUUCUGUUGGGGUUAAAAUUGGUUUUAAUACCUCCAAUUGCAACUUCUACUGUACAAUAUCUCUCUUAAUCAUAGCUCCAAAAAAAAAGAUAGGUAUAUAAGAUCCCACUUAAAUAAUCUACCAGUAUUCUCCAUCCUUUCUCUCUAAUAUAUUCACUGAUGAUCUACACAAGCAGGAUACUCCCAUUUAAGAACUACUCUCAAGGAGUUCCUGUUGUGGCUCAGCGGGUUAAGGAUACAACAUAGACUUCCUGAGGAAGGGGGUUGGAUGACUGGCCUAACUCAGUGUGUUAAGGAUCUGGCAUUGCUGCAAGCUGUGGUGUGGGUCUCAGAUGCAGCUUGGAUCCACUGUUGCCGUGGCUGUGGCUAUGGCUGUGGCCUCAGCUGCAGCUCCAAUUUGAUGCCUAGCUGGGUAGCUUCCAUAUGCUGCAGGCAUGGCUAUAAAUUUUUAAAAAAUAUAUAAAAACUACUCUCCCAUAUGCUCAGCUACCUCUGUUCCCUCUGUUCCAUUAACCAAACUAGCUUCCAAGCCAAGUUUUAUCAGGGACUAGAGUUUCUAGUUUAUAAAUGAAUAAAUAAUUUAUUUCAGAUUAAUACUCUGCAAACAUAUGUAUUUUAAUUAAAUGUUUAUCUUCCCAUCUUUGCUCUUAGAAUAGAGUGAUUGGAAUAUCACAUUUGUUCACUGAAAAAGAUCCUAAGAACUUCUGAGAUAUAAACCUGGAAAUCAUAAUUGCUUAAUAAGAGCUCAGACUUUCAUGGCUGAAUUAAACCUGCCAGUACUUGCAGUAUCAGAAGCCAAAUUUCCCAUCCAAAGAUCACUUCUAUGAGAACUUUUUUAUUGACUACUAUAUCACCAGUCACCAGUGCCUAGAACAGUGCUUGCCACAGAGCAGGUGCAUAAAAAAAUAUUUAUUGACUGAGUAAAUAAAUGAAUGUAUCUUAAACAGCCCUCACUUCGGUCAUUCAUUUCUUCAUCAACAAUUAGUAUAAAUCCUCAAAUGGGGUAUAUUCACCUGUCCCAAUGAAGCUUAUGUUAUAGAUUUUUAUGUAUAAACCUGAAGUUCUUGACCUACAUUCAGUAACUGAUGAAUAGUGCAGUAUUUAUUUCCUAAAAUAAUCAGCAAAUCCUUGGGUUAACUUUUCAGUUUUGGAAGUAUAUACACAAUAGCUGAUGGGAGAAAAGUUCUCUGCUUACUUGAGCCAGUAGUUUCCUCUAGUUUCAAGAAGCUUUUCUGUAUUAUUUCUAUAUUAUAUAACUAUGAAAACUGGAUGAAUAAUGGGUUUUACUCAUUACUAGUUUUAUUCAGUUUUGUUAUGAUUUUGAGAUAAAGUAAGAUUAUUUUCUAUAAAAUGCGAGUAGGUUCUAUUCCUGAUAAGUUUUAUAUUAUCCUGGAUAAAAUAUAUUAUAAGGAUAAUGGAUAACAUUGAAAAAGGAUUCACAGAAGCAGAGGUGCAAUUUAUUUUCCAUUUAAUACAAUUUUGCUUAAUUUUUACAUUUCUUUGUGUAAAAUCAUUCUCUUAAGUCCUAAAUGAUUCUCGUCUAUUUCAUAUAGAACAUAUAAAAGCAUAUUCACCAGAGGAAGCAAAUUUUCUUUCUUUUCUUUUCCCUUCCUCCCUUCCUUCCUUUCUCCCUUUCUCCCUUUGUCUUUUCAGGACCACACCCGUGGCAUAUGGAGAUUCCCAGACUAGAGGUUGAAUUGGAGCUGCAGUUGUCAGCCUACACCACAGCCAUGGCAACACAAGAUUUAAGCAAUGUCUGUGACCUACACCACAGCUCAAAGCAACACCAGAUCCUUAACCCACUGAGAGAGGCCAGGGAUUGAACUUGUGGAGGAAGCAUUUUUCUUAAGGAAACAUUAGCUGCUUCAAUAAACUAGCCCCAAACUCUCUCAAAACAGAUGAGCUUAUGUUUUGCUCACAUUAAAUCCCAAAAUAUAUUUUUUCUGCUCUGCUUUAUUUUUCUCCAAGUGAGGAUUCAAUGACAUGGGCUUAUUUUAACUUAAAUCUUCCACAAUGGCCAUGCUCACCAGUAUUAAGUGAGGAAAAGAUCAUGACAAAUUAGUUACAGGACAUUUUAAUGACCCAAGUCUCCCAGUUUGGAUGAGGGACACUACUUUUUGCUAACAUUCCAUUGGCCAGAAGUUAGACAUAUGAUCACAGCUAACAUCAAAGAAUGCUGAAAAUAUGUAGUACUAUUGUAUUUCCAGGAAAGAAAACAAAUUUCUUUGUUAAAGAGCUAGCAAAUCUAGUCAAAUACAUAAAUAAUAUUUUCUAACACUUGAUUCUGAUACUUUUCACUUUCUGCAUAACCUUGCCUGCUUUUAUAUCUUCCAAAUUUAUCUCCUUGCCUGCUUUCCCCCCAUUCGCUUCUUUAAUUCCUUUAUUCACUGAGACUAUUAACAAAUAUCUUGCUACCAAAUUUAUUUACCAAAUCAGUGGCAGCUGCACAAUUUCCAUGUAGGAAGGAUGGGGCAGAGAUUUAGUUGGAAAUGAGACCUAGGAAUUUUCUAGAAGCCUCAAAUAUUUUACUUAAUUGUGUUUGUUAAAUUAUACUUUUAUUUGACAUAGAUUAGAGGGAAAUGAUGACAGUUUUGGAGGUUAAAAUUGUGCUCUUUUUCUUCAGUUUCCCAGUGGCACAUGGUGUAGGGAUGAGUAGCUUCCAUGCCAUUUUAGCUACGUAUUAGUUGUCACAGUCUCCCCAACUAUAGAAAGAUUUUCUUUUUUUCAAAAUCAUUGAGCCAUAUUGAUCUUUACUACCAUCAGCAUUUGACACAUAUUUAAAAUCUAGAACAUGAAAUGUGAAAAAAAUUGUCCUGUUAUUGCUUUUAUGCUCUUAUCAUAUGCAGCAAAGCAUGCUCAUUUUAAUUCAAGGAAGAUGUUAGGUAUUUGUUAAGCUUUUGAAUAAGCAUAUAUUUUAAUAAGGCUUGUAUAAAAGGAGAACACUCUAUAUUUUUGAUGUGCUCAUAAAAAGAUAAAUUCCCAGCUAGCUAUGAUUUUGAAUACCAUUGAGAAAUACAUAGUAAAAAAACAAAAAGCAAAAAAAACAACAAAAAACUACUGGUUAUGAUGAAAGUCUGAAAAUGUAAAAGACAUCUAAGAACUGUGCAAUUAGCCUAUGUCCGACAAAUCAAACAUGUCUCUUCUACCCAGUAGGUACUAGUGGCUUUAAAGUUAUAGUCAUUUUAAACUCUCCUUAAAAAAGACACAUGCAUUUGCAUUUUCAUUGCAGUGCUAUUCACAAUAGCCAAGACAUGGCAUCAACCCAAUGUCCACUGAUAGAUGAUUGGAUUAGGAAGAUGUGGUGUGUGUAUAUAUAUAUAUAUAUAUAUAUACAAUGGAAUACUACUAAGCCAUAAAAAUGAAAUAAUGCCAUUUGCAGCAACAUGAAUGGAAUUAGAGACUCUUAUCCUGAGUGAGGUAAGUCAAUAAGAGAAAUACAAAUACCAUAUGAUAUAACUUAUAUCUUGAAUCUAACAUAUGGAACAAAGGAAACUUUCCACAGAAAAGAAAAUCAUGGACUUGGAGAAUAAACUUGUGGAUGCCAAGGAGGAAGGGGAGGGAAUGAGAGGGACUGGGAGCUUGGGGUAAAUAGAUGCAGAAUGUUGCCUUUGGGAUAAAUUGCCAAUGGGAUCCUGCUGUGUAGCACUGGGAACUCUGUCUAGUCACUUAUGACAGAACAUGUAUUGUGAGAAAAAAGAAUGUAUACAUGUAAGUGUAACUGGGUCACCAUGCUGUACAGUAGAAAAAAAUAUAAAUAAAUGAUAAAAAAUAAAAACAAAAAAGUUAUAGUAAUUUUAAGUUACCAGUGACAAGGGGUUAUAUUUCAAUAUAGAAGAAUAAUUAUUUCCCUGAAUAACAGGUCAUACACAAGCUUUCUUUUUUUGGAUAAUUAGAAACUACUAUCUAAUGAAUGAAUAAUAUUAGUUCACAACAAUUUUCGACACUAGGGCAAGUACAAAGAAGUAUAUAAUGUCACUGAUUUUCUCAAAUAUCUUUAAUAGAGUUAAAAAUAUGCCAUAUACACCAAAACACACACAACAUGUGCACACAAACAUAUACCCAGAGUUAAAUGAAUACAGUAUUCUAAGAACCAAAUUCAUCAAACAGUUUCUCCAAACAGUGGGGAUACACAAUUGGACUUGGGAUAAUUAGAAAAAGUCUUUAGACAAAAAAAUCUUAACCGAGUCUUAAAGGAUAACUAGGAUAUCAGGAUUCUCUAUAAAAACAGAACUGAUAGGAUUUAUAGAGGGAGAAUUAUAUCACAAGGAAUUGACUGAUGUAAAUAUGGAGGCUGAGAGAUCCCACAAUAUGCUGUCUGCAAGCUGGAAUCCCAGAGGAGUCAAUGGGAUAAAUCUACCUGAGCCCAAAGGCCUGAGAACCAGGAUCACCAAGGGCAGGAGAAGAGACCUCUCACCUCAAGGAAUCAGGCAAGAAGGGACAAAUUCCUCCUUCUUCUGCUUUUAUUCCAUUCAGGCCUUCCAUGGAUUAGAUGCUUCCCUCCUACACUGGGGAGGGGAAUUUCUUUCAUAGAGCCCACAGAUGCAAAUGUUAAUCUCACCUAGAAACACUCUCACAGACACACCUAGAAACAAGGUUUACCCUGGGCACCCCACGGCCAGUCAAACUGACACACAAAAAUAACCAUCGCAACUAGUAGUUUGGCAGAGUGAACAGAGGAGUGUAUCUUGAUGACUAGGUAAAAUCUGAGUUAAAAAGCACUUCUAUAAAGGCUUUAAGUAAGUCUGAAGGAUGCAUUAUUCUAGAUUGUUUUGGUUACAAAGGCCAAAAACAAACUUUAACACAGGCAAAGCAGAGAAUUGCUCCACAUAAAUAAGAAUUCCAAGGCAUUGCUGAAUCCAGGGACUCAAAUGAGGUCAGGAGUCCACCUGCAUUUCCAUUUCUGGGCUCUGAUUCAUUACACUUGUGUUACUGCUUCUAAUCAGCAGAAAAUAUGACUGCUGCUAGUCUCAGGUGUAGGUUUCCCUCACAGACUCCUUCCAGUACAGUCACCUCUCAGUAUUAGGGAUUGCUUUCAGGAUCUCCUCAGAUACCAAAGCCACAGAUACCCAAGUUUCCUUAUAUAAAAUGGCACAGUACUGUGGGCCCAACCUAUUCUUGAAUAUUGAGGGCCCACUCUAUGUAGAAACUUUGAAAAGACUGAGUUACUGUUGAAAACACAUGUAUUAAUCAUCUGUUACCACAUAACAAAUUACUCCAAAAUUUGAUGGCAGAAAAUAACAAACACUUGUUUUCUCACAUUUCCUAUGGAUUAGGAAGCUGGGAGCACGCUUUAGGCACCUCUUGUUCAAGUCUCUCAGGAGACCGCAAUACAGAUAUCAAAAGAGACUUAGGUCAUCUCAAGGCUUGGGUUAUGGAGGAUGGACUUCUAAGCUCACUCACAUGACUUUUGGCAGACCUAAGUCCUGGUUUAUAAUCUUUGUCAUAGACAUUGAGUUCCUUGCCACCUGGGUCUCCGCUUGGGAUUAUGCACAGGAUCCUUUCUUCCUCCCAAGUGAAGGCUGGAGGUUGCGGGAGGGGGAGAGAUAUAUCAAGACAAAAAUAAUAGCCCUUCUGUUACUUAAUUUUAGGAGUAACAUACCACCACUUCUACCCUAUUCUAGUCUUUAGAAACCAUGUCAGUACGUCCAGGGCAGAGGAUGGUAGAGGAUAUGAAUAUUGGGAGGUGAGCAUCAUUGGUGGUUGUAUUUGCGAUUGCUUAACACAACUGCUGAAAUAGUCAUGAUAUAAGAGAAAAAGUAGUCUGGCAUGGAUAGAUUAUGAGUUCAUCCUUCAUAUUAUGAGUGGGGGAGAUCUACAUAAAUCAUAUUUAAUAGGUUCAUCACCAAAGAGAAGGUUGCUUUUACCAAAAGAGGGAAAUGAUUUCUAGAGAGGCAAAAAAACAGGACACUGAAUUGAUGGACUAUCUUGCUUGGGGGGAGUGUUUGUUUCUCGGUAGCUGGGGCAAUUAGAGAGGGAACUGGUGUUGCAUGAUCUUGAUAUUUUACUUUAUCACUUGAGUAAUCAAGUUUUGUUUGUGUGGCUGCUGUUUCAAAGAGCAGAGUGAUGCUCCAAAAAAUUGUUUUUUAAACAAACAAAAUAAAACCAGCAAAAAUAAAAUUUUAUGCUUGACUGAAGAGGAUGAUGGAGGUUUAUACUUCCAUUUUUCAGAUAUUAUUUAAAGAUUUGUUUUAAUUAAGAUGAGUUGGUAGGCAAAAAAAAAAAAAAAAAAAAAAA